AACGGUGGGGUGUAGGUGGCAUUGUCUGUGGGGUUCCAGAAUUUGAUGUCUGUAGCGAGGAAAGCGUUGCCUAAUAGGAUGCAUCGGGCGUGUCCUCUGCAGAUAUCUUCAGCUGGAAUUCCAUACUUUCCUCAGCCCCAGCUUUGAAUUUCAUUUGAUGGUGGCGAUUCCGGAAGGCCAAUAAGCAGAAGGAUUCCUGGUGACGCCAUUAAAGAUGAGGGGGCGAUGUUAUCUUGCCCUAAAUUUCCCCGCCCUACCAAGGAUCCCUCGCAUCACAUAACAUAAUCUUCCGGGUGCUGUCAAACAGUAGGUAGUAAAAGAAGCCACGCCUCUGUCAGUCCAAGACAUGUCACUGUUCCAUCCGUCAGCCAUCAAAGUUGAAGGCUCCAUUCCAGUUGGUUGUUACCAGAGAUGUCACUCAAAUAGAUGCCCCAGGCUCAGAUGACAGCGUCACUUGCAUUGUCAAAAAAAAGACUAGUGCA
Long non-coding RNA from Uloborus diversus, 482 nucleotides. RefSeq lists it as uncharacterized. NCBI's taxonomy places the organism in Eukaryota, Metazoa, Arthropoda, Arachnida, Araneae, Uloboridae. The record is from RefSeq and is a predicted model, not a curated record. The transcript is spliced from 3 exons.